CUGCCUGGGGUGGUGGGGUGGACUGAGAGACAGUGGAGGAGAGAAGUUGGUGUUCUGACUCUCCGUUCUACCACCAAGUUACGGCCGUAUUACGCUAUAUAGCGGCUCAACCGCAGUGUUUCAGUUCAGUUUUAUUGCGGAACGACUGGACAAGCAGUUCAGCCGGACUGUGGGGUACUGGUGUACAGCGGCGGACUGAGAGCUGUGGGAGCUGCGGUUACUAACACUUGUCUUGAGCGGCGCGGCCGGGCUUCGUGUGUUGGUUGAACACGUACGGCGACGGUCCUGAACUUCAUGUCAUGCGGGGACUGUGUUGUCGGCCGCUGUGAGUGCUGGGACUGCUGCGUUUCACCGGAGAGCUUCGUGAACCAGCUGCUCCUGGCUGCCUAUUUUGGGUGAUGGACCACUAGGAAUAUUCUACGGCUGGUCUAGCACCACAGAACCAGCCCACCUGAUUCACCCAAAUGGUGUCAUAUUUCAGUUAAAACACAUUUAACAGACUCGUGUCCAGAACUGUGCAGCAGCAGAUGCGCUACAGUCUAUAACUGUAACGUUAGUGGACCUCAAAAGGUGGAUGGAGCUCAUGAAGUGGACAGAGAGGGAAAUACAAAAUAAAAGUCUCUAAUAAGGUGGACGGUCGGUGUAUGGAAAGAAUAGAGCAGCAGGACGGAGAGCGCCUUUGCUCGAGAACCGUCGCCUAAAGGAUGUACUGAGCAUUCAUGUCUCCAGGGCUGAACUCAAGUGGACAGACAGACAGAUGCCAGUAUCCUUGUUGGUCCUAACCACUGAUACCCGUUCCUAGACGCCUUAUUGUCCACUGAUCUCUAUCUGAGGGGAUACGUCUGCAUGUCCGCCACGUUGGAGCGGUGAAGAUCUGCUUGUGAACAGAUUAAUUUGUAUUGAGAGACGAACAGUCUUGGGAUUGAAUCAACCACAAGUUCCUUUAAUCUCACACACUUUAGCAAAUAUAUAUAUAUAUAUAAUGUA
This is a long non-coding RNA of Pygocentrus nattereri (red-bellied piranha), 987 nucleotides long. RefSeq lists it as uncharacterized. NCBI's taxonomy places the organism in Eukaryota, Metazoa, Chordata, Actinopteri, Characiformes, Serrasalmidae. The record is from RefSeq and is a predicted model, not a curated record. The transcript is spliced from 2 exons.